UACGGAGGGGACUAGCGUUGUUCGGAAUUACUGGGCGUAAAGCGCGCGUAGGCGGACUAUUAAGUCAGGGGUGAAAUCCCGGGGCUCAACCCCGGAACUGCCCUUGAUACUGGUGGUCUAGAGACCGAGAGAGGUAAGUGGAACUCCUAGUGUAGAGGUGGAAUCCGUAGAUAUUAGGAAGAACACCAGUGGCGAAGGCGGCUCACUGGCUCGAUACUGACGCUGAGGUGCGAAAGCGUGGGGAGCAAACAGG
Molecule: unclassified non-coding RNA, 253 nt
Filed under: uncultured Rhodobacterales bacterium
Lineage: Bacteria; Pseudomonadati; Pseudomonadota; Alphaproteobacteria; Rhodobacterales
Description: contains 16S-23S intergenic spacer region
Rfam family: Bacterial small subunit ribosomal RNA
Source: RNAcentral